Molecule: ribosomal RNA, 273 nt
Filed under: uncultured bacterium
Lineage: Bacteria
Description: partial 16S ribosomal RNA
Rfam family: Bacterial small subunit ribosomal RNA
Source: RNAcentral
UACGGAGGGUGCGAGCGUUGUUCGGAAUCACUGGGCGUAAAGGGCGCGCAGGCGGUUUGUCAAGUCAGAUGUGAAAGGCCACGGCUCAACCGUGGAGGUGCAUCUGAAACUGGCAGACUUGAGUACCGGAGGGGAAAGUGGAAUUCCCGGUGUAGAGGUGAAAUUCGUAGAUAUCGGGAGGAACACCGGAGGCGAAGGCGACUUUCUGGACGGAUACUGACGCUGAGGCGCGAAAGCGUGGGGAGCAAACAGGAUUAGAUACCCUAGUAGUCC